This 301-nucleotide ribosomal RNA is filed under the name uncultured bacterium. RNAcentral's name for it is "partial 16S ribosomal RNA". It matches the Rfam family "Bacterial small subunit ribosomal RNA", at positions 509 to 807 of the family's 1533-position model. The record is from RNAcentral.
CAGCAGCCACGGGAAUACGAAGGGUGCAAGCGUUACUCGGAAUUACUGGGCGUAAAGCGUGCGUAGGUGGUGGUUUAAGUCCGUUGUGAAAGCCCUGGGCUCAACCUGGGAAUUGCAGUGGAUACUGGGUCACUAGAGUGUGGUAGAGGAUAGUGGAAUUUCCGGUGUAGCAGUGAAAUGCGUAGAGAUCGGAAGGAACAUCUGUGGCGAAGGCGACUAUCUGGGCCAACACUGACACUGAGGCACGAAAGCGUGGAGAGCAAACAGGAUUAGAUACCCCCGUAGUCCCUGUCUCUUAUAC